UAUUAUAGAAACGUUUCCCUC
This is a non-coding RNA of Caenorhabditis elegans, 21 nucleotides long. NCBI's taxonomy places the organism in Eukaryota, Metazoa, Nematoda, Chromadorea, Rhabditida, Rhabditidae. The record is from Ensembl.